CGGUUUAAUCACUGCCAAUAUGAACAGAAGACACAUUUCUUUCUCUUAUAUCCUCUAAACAAAAAAAAAAAAAACAUUUUCUCUUUCAUCAAUCCAACAAUCUUUCACAGUUAUAUUUCGACGGAAAAUUGCACCCAAAGAACGUCACUCUCUCCGGCCGCCGACGAGUACUUUCCGAUGAAUCGCCGAUGGGCAUUGAAUCAGUUUCGGAGCUAAAAUGAGGCGUUUUUUGAACCUUGACCCGUUUUCUUCCGCUUCAUAGGCGCUUUCUCCCGAUUCGCCCUGUUAGGGUUUUGAAGAAUUGAAGAGCUCGUAUUUCACAAUCGAAAAUUUAGGGGAACUUGCAGAGCUAGGGGUUUUCUCGGAUUGUUGGAGCGGUGGUUAUUGUUGUUGUUAAAGAAGGGGAAGAUUGAGAGUUUCUUUGACUUUGAUAACAUUUUGGCGUGUCAAGAAAUUUUAUUUUUGAUUUGCUAUCGUAUUUUCGAUACGUGUGGGUUGAAAGGAUAAUGUGUAUAUUGUGUUCGAUCCAGAAGUGGUCGCGGGGAGUGGCAACCAUGUUACCUUGGUUAGUGAUUCCCUUGAUUGGAUUAUGGGCUUUAUCACAGUUAUUUCCACCAGCAUUUCGGUUUGAAAUCACAUCACCUAGGCUGGCAUGUGUGCUUGUGCUUGUGAUUACUCUUGGUUGGUAUGAGGUCUUUAUGCCUAAGUUGUCAGCUUGGCGGGCGAGAAGAAAUGCUAGGCUUAGGGAAAGGAAGAGGUCUGAGGCUAUUGAAAUGCAGAAAUUAAGGAAAAUAGCAACGAGGAGGUGUAGAAAUUGUUUGACUCCAUAUAGAGAUCAGAAUCCUGGUGGUGGCAAGUUCAUGUGUUCAUAUUGUGGGCAUAUUUCUAAGAGACCCAUAUUAGACUUGCCUGUGCCGCCAGGGUUGGGUCUUUCGAAUUCAGGCAUUUUGAGAGAUUUGGUUGGGAAAGGUGGGAAGAUGUUGAAUGGAAAGGUUUGGUCUGAUAACAGGUGGAUGUGCGGGCAGGAUUGGUUAGAGAAUGGGAAUUGGGUUGGGGGGUCUUUUGUUAGCAAGUCAGAUUCUUGGAGCAAGACUGGCAGUGGAUUUCUUGGGAUGGAGCAUUGUUUAGCAGAGAAGUCAUAUUCUCGUGUUUUUGCUUUUGCCUGCAAAGCUCUGACUGCCUUUUUCUUAAGUAUCACAUGGCUGUGUAGAAAGAUUUUUAGGUUAAGUUCCUCCAGAAGCGAUGCUUCAAUUGAUGCAGGACGGAGAGCACUGAUGGAUAAAAGAGGUGAGAAUGGAGGAAAUUGUCAGGAGAGUAGAGGGGAGAAAGCUAAGAGAAAAGCUGAGGAAAAGAGGCUGGCUAGGUUGGAGAAAGAGCUAGCAGAGGAGGAGGAGCGAAAGCAAAGAGAGGAGGUUGCUAGACUGGUGGAAGAACGCAGGAGAUUGCGCGAUGAAAAGAUGGAGGCAGUGAAAGAACGGGGGCAGGGGUCUCCCUCUGCUAAAGUACGGGAUUGUAAAAGGGAAGCAGAAAAGAAGCGGCAGGAGAAGAAGAAAGAAAGAGACAGGGGAUCAAGCAAAAGUAACUCAGAUGUGGAAGAGGUGGAUAAAAGACAAGGCAAGGAGAGUGCACGAAAUAGGCAGAGUGAUGGUGAUAGAAGGAACCAACACAAAAAUGGGCCUGAAAGUAUUAAGACACAUAAUGCAGAAGUUAUACAUGGUUAUAAGGGUGGUUCUUCUAGCAGUCAUAACCAUGGAAAUGUUGGUACUCGGUACUUGGAUCGUAUGCGGGGUACUUUUUUAUCAUCUUCUAGAGCACUUACUGGAGGUGGUUUCUUUGGCAGGAAUAGUGCUACUAAUAUUCCAAGAGAGCAGAAAUCUAAUACGCUGAUAGAUCCUGUUCAUAAUGCCUCUAGGAGGGAACUAUCUCAGUCAGAUCGCAUACCUGGAAAGCUGAAUCCUAGUGGAGAUGACAGGAGUAUGAAUCGACCUGUACUUAUUGAACCUCAACCAUUUACAACUCCUAAAAAGUCUUGGCAACAGCUAUUCACUCGAUCCUCUACUGUUUCUCCCCCCUCUUCAAGUGUAAUCAGCAGACCAAGUGCAAAGCCCCAAGCAGAAAUACUGAGUCCUUCCUGUCAGACUCCAGCUGCACAAUCUUUCGACAACCCUAUUAGCUUUGGUCUCCCAUCGCCUUUCACUUUAACUUCUUUUCCUUGUGGGCCCACAAGUUGUAGUACAACUAAUCCAUCGUCUCCGAGAGCAAUACAUCCUCGAAUUGGAGAUGGGACAGGUCAGUUAUUGGCGGAAGAAUCGGAGAAUUUUGAAGAUCCUUGUUAUGUUCCAGACCCUGUGUCAUUGCUUGGACCAGUUUGUGAGUCCCUUGAUGACUUUCAACUGGAGGUUGACCUUGGCUUUGUGUCAGAUACAGGACUUGAUAGCCCAUGUAUGGUGAAAAAUGUGAAUGCGUCUUCAGAAGUGACCAGGCCUUCACCAAUUGAGUCUCCAAUAUCACGAAUGCGUGUUCCAGAGGAAAGGCAUGCUGGGUCUUUUCUUUUCCCGAACACUCCUAAUGCUCAGGACAUGCACCCUGUGCCAACGAAUGUUUCAAAUAGUUCAAAUGAUGUAGGAACGUGGCAGAUGUGGAACAGCUCUCCGCUUGGUCAAGCUGGUCUAAGCUUGAUAGGUUCUCCAACCAACUGGCGUUUGAAUACAGAUCUCAAUACAUCAAAUAUGGCUCCGACACCUCCAAGGACAAUGGCUUCACUUUUCAAGAAUGAUGAGCAACUCCACUCUGUCUGUCGUUCUACCCACACAGUUUAUACGGGAAGUUGCCAGAAUAGUGGGACACUGAGUACUGUUUUGCCUGGUAGCACUGAAAGUAGGCAUCCAAUAGUUCCUUUUGGUACAUAUGCAGGAAGUGAAAGUCGAUUUUCUCUCAAGUCUGAAGAUGCUGCUCAAAAUGAAAUGACGUACGGGAGUCCUAAUGCUACUUCUACUAAUCAUCCAUUUGCAUCAUCUCCACUUAAUUGGGCCAAAUGUGCACUUUUUGCUCCAUCCAACAAUAAUGCUUGCUGUCCUCUAUAGAUUGAAAAUCUUAUCACAUGUUAUGUAAGCUAAACAGCUAUGUGGGCCUUGCUUUUACACUUUCCUGAAGCAGCUUCUUUUCUCAUCUAUUCCUCAAACCGAACAACCCUCCAAAAAUGUGAUAGACAGUGGAACCAGCAGCUUGCAUGAGCUGCAGACUGCUGCAUUAUAUCUAAGUAAAGCUUAAUAGCUCCAUACAUGAUCUGGUCCAAGUGAUGUAGUCUUAAGUCUUGGGGAAUGAGGAAUGAGGAUUGUCCAAGUGGAGCGGAAUUGGAUAUGAGGAUUCAUAUAAAGCCAAAUCCAACUAGCUAGCUUGGGAGUGAGGCAUAGUUGUAGUAGUACAAUGAAAGCAAGCAUUAUGUUUUAAGUUUUUCAUAACAAGAAUGAUGUUGACUUGGAUUGCACAAGAAGGACUGGACUUCGCAGCGUCCGGAUGAAGCUUUUGGCAACUCACUAAAGGCUAGUGCCUCAGUUGGUGGUAUAUAUUCCACGCCAAAUGUACAGUCUUUUUGGUCUUUUGAAUAAAAAAGAAAAAGGGAAAAUGGGGAUAAGAGUACAAGGGACUUGAACACACCCUCCUGUUACUGAAGAGGAAAAUAGCCUCUUUUGGGAAGGAGAGUUUAGAAUGCUGCACUUGUUGCAUCUUCCUUCUUUUCUUUAAAAGGGGAGAGUUACAUUAGCAUUAUAGGGAUACAUGUUUCUUCCAUGCAUGGCUAUGGACCAGGUAACUAUCGAUUAUGAAACGGCUGAGUACUUCUCUUUCAUUAAUAGAGAAGGACAAUCACUGAUAUAGAUGACCAGAGCUAUUUCCACUACAUGUUACCUCAUUUUGGAUACCAACUUAGAUAUUAAAACAUAGACAAUACUUCAAUUAUACUGUGCUUCUCUGUAAGGUUCAGCGAAGUUUUUGAAGGACUAAGCACUGAAGGAAGCCUUUCGUUUUUCAUUUUUCA
Molecule: RNA transcript, 4036 nt
Organism: Capsicum annuum
Lineage: Eukaryota; Viridiplantae; Streptophyta; Magnoliopsida; Solanales; Solanaceae
Exons: 6
Source: RefSeq, a predicted model, not a curated record